Molecule: ribosomal RNA, 330 nt
Filed under: uncultured Brevundimonas sp.
Lineage: Bacteria; Pseudomonadati; Pseudomonadota; Alphaproteobacteria; Caulobacterales; Caulobacteraceae
Description: bacterial SSU rRNA
Rfam family: Bacterial small subunit ribosomal RNA
Source: RNAcentral
AGCGUAGGCGGACAUUUAAGUCAGGGGUGAAAUCCCAGAGCUCAACUCUGGAACUGCCUUUGAUACUGGGUGUCUUGAGUGUGAUAGAGGUAUGUGGAACUCCGAGUGUAGAGGUGAAAUUCGUAGAUAUUCGGAAGAACACCAGUGGCGAAGGCGACAUACUGGAUCAUUACUGACGCUGAGGCUCGAAAGCGUGGGGAGCAAACAGGAUUAGAUACCCUGGUAGUCCACGCCGUAAACGAUGAUUGCUAGUUGUCGGGAUGUUUACAUCUCGGUGACGCAGCUAACGCAUUAAGCAAUCCGCCUGGGGAGUACGGUCGCAAGAUUAAA